UCAGACUGCCAAAGUUUAAAUCCAAACUUCCACAUUUGCUAGUUGUGUUGCUUUGGGCAGAUUACUUAACCUCUCUGUGUCUCAAAUCACUGUCUCUAAGAAGAGGAUAACAGUAAGAGUGAUCUCUUAAGGUUGUUGUGAGAAUUACAUAUCUGUAAUAAUGCCUGGCUACAUUGUGGGUCCUUGAUGAAUUUUAUUUAAUACCAUGCCAAUACUAUGCCAGCCAGGGAGGGAAAGAUUUGCAGUGAAGUGAUCAUUUUGCCCUCUAUAUCACACUCUAAAAUCUUGCUGAGUUUAUUGUCACCUAAAACAUUCUGUAUUUUUCAAGUAACUUGCAGAAGCAUCUUUGUUUAUUGAGCCAAUAAUUUUUAUUGCCCAUCUUCAUUAUAAAAGAAUGGCCUAGACAGUAACCACUUAUAUUUUGUCUUACAAAGGAUAUUUACAAAUUUAAAGCUAAAAUUUACAAAUGUUUUCCCAUGUGUCAGGCAUUGUUCCAUAGGUGUUUCAUGUGAUCUUCAUGACAACUUCACAAACUGCAAGAAUGGAUAAUCAGGUCUGAUCUAGUAACCAAAAGCUAUGCAAGUACUGAGAAAAUUCUGUGUUAUCUGAAAACACCAGCAGCAAAGAGAGAAUUGGUGUCUGAUCUCACAGAUCUUAUUUUCUACUAUCUGGUUCUUCGACUGGAGAGUCAUAAGAACUCUUUAGUCAUCCAACACCUUCAUUUUAUGGUGCACUAUGAUUAUCCAUGGAGAGAUCAUGAAUAUGCAGUGGCAUCUUUUGGGUGGAACACCUCUCCAAAAGUCAGUAAUCAUUAACAGAAAGCUGUAGAAGCUUGGCUGACCCAGGACCAAGAAAUGCUGCAGCCGCUUCACCGGAACCACAAGAAUGAGAAACACAAGCAAAGUUUACAGCACCUAAUGUCCUCUUUGUAAGUCUCCUAAGGCAACAAUUAUCUGUGUGUGCACACAUAUACACACUCAACAUACCAAGGGCUAAAGUGUAGAUAAACAGAGUUUCAUAAAAAUUCCUCCAGUAAUGUGAUCAAAACCAUUCUCUUUCCCAAAAAAGCAAGACGGAAUUCAUAUGAGUGAAUGAUGUUAUAGUAAGAAUAAUCUUGAAUCUACUCUAACAUAUUUUAAGCAAGUUACCUGUGACAUACCUCACAAGAUGUAACAGCACAUCAAGCGUGCUGAGAGCUCAAUUGUGAAUUUCUACUUUAAAGACCACUUAUCACUUUUCCUUCCCCAUCAACUCUUCAAUUUCCUUGUUUUCUUCACACCCAUGUCCUGCCUCUGCAGAUGAUUCUCUGUGUCCUAAUUAUCAUGGGAUAAAGA
Molecule: long non-coding RNA, 1334 nt
Filed under: Felis catus (domestic cat)
Lineage: Eukaryota; Metazoa; Chordata; Mammalia; Carnivora; Felidae
Description: lncRNA (ENSFCAG00000044648.2)
Source: RNAcentral